AAAGUACUCCCUCUGUCCGAAAAUACUUGUCAUCAAAAUGGACAAAAAGGGAUGUAUCUAGAACUAAAAUAUAUCUAGAUACAUCCCCUUUUAUUCAUUCUGAUGAUAAGUAUUUCUGGACGGAGGAGUACUAC
This is a non-coding RNA of Triticum aestivum (bread wheat), 134 nucleotides long. The record is from Rfam. NCBI's taxonomy places the organism in Eukaryota, Viridiplantae, Streptophyta, Magnoliopsida, Poales, Poaceae.